CCGGAGGAAGGUGGGGAUGAUGUCAAGUCCUCACUUGGCCCUUAUGGGUAGGGCUUCACACGUCAUACAAUGGUCGGUACAGAGGGUUGCCAACCCGCGAGGGGGAGCUAAUCCCACAAAGCCGAUCGUAGUCCGGAUCGCAGUCUGCAACUCGACUGCGUGAAGUCGGAAUCGCUAGUAAUCGUGGAUCAGCAUGUCACGGUGAAUACGUUCCCGGGUCUU
This 222-nucleotide ribosomal RNA is filed under the name uncultured Rhodocyclaceae bacterium. RNAcentral's name for it is "partial 16S ribosomal RNA". It matches the Rfam family "Bacterial small subunit ribosomal RNA", at positions 1163 to 1382 of the family's 1533-position model. The record is from RNAcentral. Lineage: Bacteria; Pseudomonadati; Pseudomonadota; Betaproteobacteria; Rhodocyclales; Rhodocyclaceae.